UACGAACGCUGGCGGCAUGCCUAACACAUGCAAGUCGAACGAGACCUUCGGGUCUAGUGGCGCACGGGUGCGUAACGCGUGGGAACCUGCCCUUAGGUUCGGAAUAACUCCCCGAAAGGGGUGCUAAUACCGGAUAAUGUCUUCGGACCAAAGAUUUAUCGCCUUUGGAUGGGCCCGCGUUGGAUUAGCUAGUUGGUAGGGUAAAAGCCUACCAAGGCGACGAUCCAUAGCUGGUCUGAGAGGAUGAUCAGCCACACUGGGACUGAGACACGGCCCAGACUCCUACGGGAGGCAGCAGUGGGGAAUAUUGGACAAUGGGCGAAAGCCUGAUCCAGCAAUGACGCGUGAGUGAUGAAGGCCUUAGGGUUGUAAAGCUCUUUUACCCGGGAUGAUAAUGACAGUACCGGGAGAAUAAGCUCCGGCUAACUCCGUG
RNAcentral lists this ribosomal RNA (433 nucleotides) under uncultured bacterium. RNAcentral describes it as "partial 16S ribosomal RNA". It matches the Rfam family "Bacterial small subunit ribosomal RNA", at positions 29 to 507 of the family's 1533-position model. The record is from RNAcentral.